ACGGGAGGCAGCAGUGGGGGAUAUUGGUCAAUGGGGGAAACCCUGAACCAGCAACGCCGCGUGAGGGAAGAAGGUUUUCGGAUUGUAAACCUCUGUUUUUGGUGACGAAACAAAUGACGGUAGCCAAGGAGAAAGCCACGGCUAACUACGUGCCAGCAGCCGCGGUAAUACGUAGGUGGCAAGCGUUGUCCGGAAUUACUGGGUGUAAAGGGAGCGCAGGCGGGAGAUCAAGUCAGACGUGAAAACUAUGGGCUCAACCCAUAACGUGCGUUUGAAACUGGUUUUCUUGAGUGAAGUAGAGGUAGGCGGAAUUCCGAGUGUAGCGGUGAAAUGCGUAGAUAUUCGGAGGAACACCAGUGGCGAAGGCGGCCUACUGGGCUUUUACUGACGCUGAGGCUCGAAAGUGUGGGGAGCAAACAGGAUUAGAUACCCUGGUA
Molecule: ribosomal RNA, 437 nt
Filed under: uncultured Clostridium sp.
Lineage: Bacteria; Bacillati; Bacillota; Clostridia; Eubacteriales; Clostridiaceae
Description: partial 16S ribosomal RNA
Rfam family: Bacterial small subunit ribosomal RNA
Source: RNAcentral